This 407-nucleotide ribosomal RNA is filed under the name uncultured bacterium. RNAcentral's name for it is "partial 16S ribosomal RNA". It matches the Rfam family "Bacterial small subunit ribosomal RNA", at positions 30 to 526 of the family's 1533-position model. The record is from RNAcentral.
AUUGAACGCUGGCGGCAGGCCUAAUACAUGCAAGUCGAGCGGAGCGGCGGACGGGUGAGUAAUGCCUAGUAAUCUGCCUGUUAGUGGGGGAUAACGUCCGGAAACGGGCGCUAAUGCCGCAUACUAUCAGAUGAGCCUAGGUUGGAUUUGCUAGUGGGUGGGGUAAAGGCCUACCAAGGCGACGAUCCGUAACUUGUCUGAGAGGAUGAUCAGUCACACUGGAACUGAGACACGGUCCAGACUCCUACGGGAGGCAGCAGUGGGGAAUAGUGGACAAUGGGCGAAAGCCUGAUCCAGCCAUGCCGCGUGUGUGAAGAAGGUUUUCGGAUUGUAAAGCACUUUAAGUUGGGAGGCGUUACUAACAGAAUAAGCACCGGCUAACUUCGUGCCAGCAGCCGCGGUAAUAC